GAGCACCUCUCCCUCCCUGGCUCACUUUCCUUUCUCUCUCCUCAGCUCUCCGCAUUUGUUUUUCACAUUCUCCAAAGUAUUAUACUUUCUUCCUUUUUCAUACACCUUUGAUAUUUCUAUUUCAUCUCGGCCCUGAUACAUCCAGGUUUUUAGCUAAAAGUUUCUGUGUGCAUGUGUGUGUUUUAUUUCAUCAAGCAGAAUUUAGUCUAUGGUUUGUGUAUUUCAGAAGCUCUGUGUUUCAGCUUCUCUUCCCCUGGUACACUGAGCUCCUGCCCCAAGCUCAGGCCGCCUGUGCAUGACAGGUAUGAGGCCAGCAUUCUGUGAUUCACCUGGAAAACACAAGUCCCCACUUCUUCCUCAUUUCUGUGCCUCUCUGGAGGGAACCCUGGCAGCCCUUGCCUCAGUUUCUGGGACAAUCCAGGCAGCUCUCCAUCACUGGAGAACACCAGAUGGAAUGGAUGGAGGCAAUUUUUCAGAAAGUACUUUAAGAGCGGCUUCCUCAGUGGUCUUUCCAGCUGGAAGCAGAGCGUCCAGAAAGCACCGCAUUCUCAGCGCUGUUUCAUUGCCUCAAGAGCUACAGAUGGCUUCCCCAAGCACCUGAAGUCGAUGCUGCUUGCCUGGAUGGAAUAAGCUGCAAGCUGCAGAAACUCUUGUCUUUUCACAGUGGAACUCAGACUCCAGUUUCUUUCUGCCUUGAGAGUGAAAGAAAGGAGAAGACACAGAGUAGGAAAGAGCCAGAAGGUGGAGAAAUUAAUGUUUAAUGCUUGAUACUCCCGGGGCCUGGCCAGCUGCUCAAAAAAAGGAAGGAGGUGAUGAAGAGAGAAAGAAAGGAUGGAAGGAAGGAGGAAGUGGACAAUGAGCCCAGAGCCCUCACCUGAGUUCCAAACAUUUAAGUCAAACUGCCAACUUCAUUCUCCAUUUGGACGAUUUCUCAACAUGUACAAAACCAAGUCCUGAUUUUUCCGUGACCCCAAAUCUGUUCUAUCUGAAGCCUCCCUAUCUCAGUUACUGAUCCUGGCUGAUGGAUGUAAUGAAGGCAUGAACUAUACUAGUUGAACAAGGAAAUGAACUUGAACCAAAUUGUGAAGUUCUCUGCAGUGAAAUAUUAAAGAUUAGCAAGCUAAACAGAGAAAAAGAUAACACUCAAGAAACUGCCUAUAUGUAAGAGAUUCCUUUGAGAACUUUCAAAUGGCUCCUUUCUACAAAAGACCUGAGAAUACUUAACCCCCCACCACUAGCACACUCAAAGCUCAAGGCAAAUGCAUUUUCAAGAUUGACAGGGUCUUGGACUCUGAAAGUCUUUGGACCCAAGAAAAAUCGUGUUAUCUAAGAGAGCAGUUAUUCUGACACAGACUGAUAUCAGGUGCCUGUGGCAUGAAACACGGAAGAGAAUAAUAGCAUCUACCUUAUAAGAAGACAUACUAUAUUCUGGACCACAUAUCUGAUAAUUCUUACAGCCCUUUAAAGAUAAUCAUAACUAGAAUAUUAUCUUAUUUUGUAGCUCAUAGAUGUCAAAAGACUAGCUCAUAAUUUUAUUGCGGAUACAUAGCAGAACCAAGAUUUGAACUCAGACCUGUCUCAUUCCACAACUCAUUUUCCUUGAAGUCAAUAGAUGCCACUGAUCUCUAAAUACCUACAAAAGGGGCUCGGAGGUGGAGAGGGGAUGUCUGAGGAGCCUUAGGACUACCACCCAAUGUUCUGUCUUUAGAUAGAGAUGCUAUCACCAAUCUCUCUUUCACACAUACUCCUCCUCUUCUCAUUUCUGUUCGUGUACUUGGUUCUCAGUGUAAGAUUUUGUUAGAAGAAAGAGGCAUGUUGGUAAAAUAAGAAAUAAUAUAUCAAAAAUAAAAUAAAAUUGUUUGAAAGUCUCUGCAGUGCUUUAACAAUGAAAGAAGUAUCUAUGCACACUUUAUAGUUUGCUAAAUACAUAAUUGAUUAAGUUAGAA
Molecule: long non-coding RNA, 1946 nt
Filed under: Homo sapiens (human)
Lineage: Eukaryota; Metazoa; Chordata; Mammalia; Primates; Hominidae
Description: HSALNT0300999
Source: RNAcentral